RNAcentral lists this ribosomal RNA (347 nucleotides) under uncultured bacterium. Its description in RNAcentral is "partial 16S ribosomal RNA". It matches the Rfam family "Bacterial small subunit ribosomal RNA", at positions 338 to 696 of the family's 1533-position model. The record is from RNAcentral.
CCUACGGGUGGCUGCAGUCGAGAAUCAUUCACAAUGGGGGAAACCCUGAUGGUGCGACGCCGCGUGGGGGAAUGAAGGUCUUCGGAUUGUAAACCCCUGCCAUGUGGGAGCAAAUUAAACAGUAAGUACCACAAGAGGCAGAGCCGGCUAACUUUGGGCCAGCAGCCGCGGUAAUACAGAGGUCGCAAGCGUUGUUCGGAAUCAGUGGGCGUAAAGCGUGCGUAGGCUGUUGCGUAAGUCGUGUGGGAAGGCCGCGGGCUCAACCCGCGGACUGCACAUGAUACUACGUGACUAGAGUGAUGGAGAGGGAACCGGAAUUCUCGGUGUAGCAGUGAAAUGCGUAGAUA